AUGCCAGAGGCUCUAUUUCCUAGCAUUUUACAGCUCCUAUAACUGUAGAAUGGUUGUAGGUCACAGGUAUAACCAAUGAAAACACAACCUAAGAUACAAAUCAGGAGCUACUGAUGCAAAGAAUGGGGACCAGGAGGAAGAGUUUCUUCGAGACCUGGUGGUUGAAGAGCAGUGGAUCAUUCUUGGCUGUGGUGGGAGAGGUGCUGAACGUUGUUCACGCUGGCUAUGUCAUGAGUGGAAUCUAUGGCGUCAAGGCUAGAGCUGGAGGGAAUGGGCUCCCCAUUGAGGUGAUGGACUUCAUCCCUGGUGCUAUUCAAGCAGUGGCUGUGGGCUUCCAGUCAGGGAUGCAGUGAAUGAGCCUCUUAUACCAGAGAAGGAUGGAUAGAGAAAAGCAUCAUUACAAAAGUGAAAUGUGUGAAUUUUAUUCUGGCUUUGAACAUUGAGUAGACGAAGAAGACAAUUCCAGACGGAGGAAACUCCACAAGAAAUAUCAUGGAAAUUUGAAAGAACACAGUGGGCUUGGGAAGAGAGAUCUCAGUGGUGGAAGCACCAUCAUCCCAAGGAGACUUAGGACAUUAUUUGAAGAGAGUUUUCCCCUGAGGAAAGUGCUUCAGAGGAGAAAAUACACCAGUUUGAAAGAAACAGCCACGGUUUGCAUGGUGUUCCAUGGUUUGUUUCUACCUUGCUGUGCAUGACCUCCACUGCUAAGGUCAUUUAUGGCCCAAGAUGAUUACUCCAGCUCCAGCCAUCACAUCUGUAUUCCAUCCUGCAGAAAGGAAGAAAGAAGGUGCUUCCAAGACCAAGAUAACCAGGCAAUCAUAGUAGAUGCAUCAAUGCACCCUUGCCCAAGGGCCUAGACAAGAGGAGGAAGGAAAGGAGGAGCACGUGCACAAAGCUAAGGAGGUGAUUAACAACAUGAUACAGUAUUGUUUAGCUUCGCAUGAAUUUUAUCACCUUGCCUAGAACCAGCCACCAUCUGCCAGGGCUCCUGACUUUUUCUGAAAUGAAUAGACACUAAAGCCUGCUGGGGAAUUUCAUGGAAAUCAAGAUGACUCAACCCAGAGUCCAUUUCAAGGCUAGGAUGCUAGAGGACGCCAACAAAGGAGUAGGGAAGUGAAACGGAUCAGCUCACAUCCAAGCCCUUGCAUGAUCAAUCCUGCAGUAGGAGUGCUGCUCAGUUGGGACUCAUGAGAGCCCGGAAGAGGAAAAAGCAGCUCUAAGCAUAGCAAAGAAGCUGUUAUGGAAAAGACCCAAAUGUUAAAAUGGUGGACAUAGUAAAGUGAUUGGUUCUGCUUAGGGGAAUCUAGAUCCCCACAUUUUGACCUCCACUGGAGUCUCAGAAGAACAAGUGCCAGGGGGGCUUGCCACAGAGGCCAAGGCAGUGAAUGUCAGGCACAUCACAGUCCCCAAGAUGGGGAGAAGACUGAGAUGCAGGGUAACAACUGCAAUCCAUUCAUGGGAGCCAUGUUUAUCUUAAAUCAUUGACAGUGAGAUAAGGAUCAUGUCAGCCUUCAUACCUUUGAUGAUGAUCCCAGGCUGCAACAGUGACACAUAGAACUGGAUUCAGUAACUAACUACAGAUUCCAUCAACCAGGACUAGUAAAGUGAAAGGCAGAAAUUGGGAGGAGGGGUUUCUUUCUUGCUUAUAAAACUUUAUUUGGUUGUGUUGAGUAUGUGCAUGUAUGUAUGAAAUCCCAUAAAGCAGUCUUCUUAGGAACAAGCCAACAUGCCACAAUGUAGGAGAUCUUUGGAGCACUGGCCUAAAUGGCAGAGAGCUCAAGGGACUCUGCUUUGUACAAGGCAUGAUUUGUACCACCACCACUAUCCCUGUUUCAGAGCACUGUUGAAUUGUUCCAAACCUGGAUUUCUAUGUCAGCUCCCUGUCUAUAGUACUUGACUGAUAAAUGCUAGUUUCUGAAAUCUGCUUUGGUUCUAUAAUUUAUUAGACAGCUUUUUCUUCCCAUUUUAUUACUUGUUUUUACUGUCAUUGGUAUAUUAUCUCUUACAGUGAAAACAUUCAUAGGCUGAUUGAAGAGAAGAUCUGAAAUUAUUAGGCAGCAAGCAUACAAAACCCUUGCUUUAUAAAGAUAAUAUCUUAAAGGCCUAAUGUCUAUGGUUCAAAGCAGCCUGGAGAUGUUGGCUAAAUCUUCCAUCAUAGAGUCCUCAUGGGAUCUGGAAGCUCUGAUUUAUCUUCCUUCAGGCCCUAUAAGUUAGCUUUCCACAUCUGUAGGUUCCACA
RNAcentral lists this long non-coding RNA (2238 nucleotides) under Homo sapiens (human). RNAcentral describes it as "HSALNT0361607". The record is from RNAcentral. Lineage: Eukaryota; Metazoa; Chordata; Mammalia; Primates; Hominidae.